UCCUGUCGUCUGUGGAAAGAUUGCUGGAGCCAGAGGCCAGGAAGAAGUUCAUGAGCCCCAGAGGAAAAGCAAGGAUUUCCAGUUCUACUCUGACCCUGACCACAGCUGGGCACCAGCUUCAGAUCUAGGCACAUACCCUUACUGAGAGGACUGUGGCCAGGUUGAUGAGGCAGUGGACAUGGAGUCCAGGCAGCGCCAAGUAAAGGGGCCCAGACUUCCAGCAGCUGUGACUGAGGAGAGCUGAUGACAUGCAAUUAGAAAGAGAAGGCCACAAGGCUUCUGCUGGUCUCCAUGAUACCUUCAUGUGAAUUAGAAGACGCAGCCCUAUACCAGGAGGGCGGCUGUGAGAGUCAAAUCAGGAACGGAAUAGGAGAAACCUUGCAAACCAGAAGGACCCUGGCAGUGAAUUCACCGCAGGACAUUUAAUCAGGCACCCUGCAGAAAUGACGUCGUUCAUUCUUCCCUGCUGUGUUUUCCUGGACAGACGAGGAAAGGAGGCUUG
Molecule: non-coding RNA, 502 nt
Organism: Saimiri boliviensis boliviensis (Bolivian squirrel monkey)
Lineage: Eukaryota; Metazoa; Chordata; Mammalia; Primates; Cebidae
Source: RefSeq, a predicted model, not a curated record